AGAAAAGCAGCUCUGGAAGUUCUUAUUUGUAGCCUGGAAAAAGAGGAAAUAGAGAAGGCUGGUAAGGAUUUAGAUGCAAAAGCACAAUCCAGUGACAACUCUGACAGCUCUGAAGGCUCUGAAGGUGAAGGUGAAGGUGAAGGUGAUACUUCUUCCUCUGAUUGAUGGUUCCCCCUCCUGUGUGCUAUGAAGACUGUGAAGCUGUUGUGUCUGAUGUUUUGGGUGAUAUUCUGUUGUUGCUAUAUGGAGUUUUUUUUUUGUUUUUU
This 266-nucleotide long non-coding RNA is filed under the name Lathyrus oleraceus (garden pea). RNAcentral's name for it is "Pisum sativum (pea) long non-coding RNA (PSAT_LNC012346)". Lineage: Eukaryota; Viridiplantae; Streptophyta; Magnoliopsida; Fabales; Fabaceae. The record is from RNAcentral.